Molecule: non-coding RNA, 252 nt
Filed under: Pontibacillus marinus
Lineage: Bacteria; Bacillati; Bacillota; Bacilli; Caryophanales; Bacillaceae
Description: T-box sequence
Rfam family: T-box leader
About the family: Uncharged tRNA acts as the effector for transcription antitermination of genes in the T-box leader family. T-boxes are found upstream of many aminoacyl-tRNA synthetase genes and some amino acid biosynthetic genes usually in Gram-positive bacteria.
Source: RNAcentral
AGAAAUUCGUAGACGAGAACGAGUAAACGUGAGUUCUGUUCCCCAGAGAGUUGGUAAACGCUGAGAGCCAAUGUUCAGACCCCGUUGAAAAUCCUCUCCGAGAAGGAAAGCUGAAGCUAGAUUUAGGUUUUCCCGGAAUUCCACCGUUAAGCGGAACGCGUAUGAUGGUACGUCGUAUGAGUGCCAGAAUAUUGCUCUCAAUGAGCGAAUUCUGGAAUCAGGGUGGUAACACGGGUAAAACUCGUCCCUAUU